This 435-nucleotide ribosomal RNA is filed under the name uncultured bacterium. RNAcentral describes it as "partial 16S ribosomal RNA". It matches the Rfam family "Bacterial small subunit ribosomal RNA", at positions 29 to 507 of the family's 1533-position model. The record is from RNAcentral.
AGCGAACGCUGGCGGCAGGCUUAACACAUGCAAGUCGAACGGGCAUCUUCGGAUGUCAGUGGCAGACGGGUGAGUAACACGUGGGAACGUACCCUUCGGUUCGGAAUAACUCAGGGAAACUUGAGCUAAUACCGGAUACGCCCUUUUGGGGUAAGGAUUACUGCCGAAGGAUCGGCACGCGUCUGAUUAGCUUGUUGGUGGGGUAACGGCCUACCAAGGCGACGAUCAGUAGCUGGUCUGAGAGGAUGAUCAGCCACACUGGGACUGAGACACGGCCAAGACUCCUACGGGAGGCAGCAGUGGGGAAUAUUGGACAAUGGGCGCAAGCCUGAUCCAGCCAUGCCGCGUGAGUGAUGAAGGCCUUAGGGUUGUAAAGCUCUUUUGUCCGGGACGAUAAUGACGGUACCGGAAGAAUAAGCCCCGGCUAACUUCGUG